AACCUUUACAAUGCUGGCAACAGCGAUAGGGGGACCUCGAGUGCCAGGUUACAAAUCUGGCUGUCGUUGUGUCUAAAAAACACGAUAUAGCAAGGGCCGGGCAAGACCGGUGCCAGCCGCCGCGGUAACACCGGCGGCUCGAGUGGUAACCGUUAUUAUUGGGUUUAAAGGGUCUGUAGCCGGCCUGGUUAGUCCUUUGGGAAAUCCGGCAGCUCAACUGUCGGGCUUUCAGAGGAUACUGCCAGGCUCGAGACCGGGAGAGGUGAGAGGUACUUCAGGGGUAGGGGUGAAAUCUUGUAAUCCUUGAAGGACCACCAGUGGCGAAGGCGUCUCACCAGAACGGAUCUGACGGCAAGGGACGAAAGCUAGGGGCACGAACCGG
RNAcentral lists this ribosomal RNA (382 nucleotides) under uncultured archaeon. RNAcentral's name for it is "bacterial SSU rRNA". It matches the Rfam family "Archaeal small subunit ribosomal RNA", at positions 345 to 727 of the family's 1478-position model. The record is from RNAcentral.